RNAcentral lists this transfer RNA (88 nucleotides) under Friedmanniomyces simplex. It matches the Rfam family "tRNA". From Rfam's summary of the family: Transfer RNA (tRNA) molecules are approximately 80 nucleotides in length. Their secondary structure includes four short double-helical elements and three loops (D, anti-codon, and T loops). The record is from Rfam by way of RNAcentral. Lineage: Eukaryota; Fungi; Ascomycota; Dothideomycetes; Mycosphaerellales; Teratosphaeriaceae.
GCAGAUGUAGUGCAGUGGUCAGCACGCGACGCUGUGGUUACUUAUCUGCGGACCCGUGGAAAAGUGGGUUCGAAUCCCAGCAUCUGCA